This is an RNA transcript of Triticum dicoccoides, 1763 nucleotides long. RefSeq lists it as uncharacterized. The record is from RefSeq and is a predicted model, not a curated record. NCBI's taxonomy places the organism in Eukaryota, Viridiplantae, Streptophyta, Magnoliopsida, Poales, Poaceae. The transcript has 10 exons.
CCGCUAGGCAUAUCUCCCCGCCGUUCCCCAUUUUUGUGGUCGCUAGCUACCCCUCUCCACCGCGUCAAGCCGGCCCUCGCUACGCUCAGGCGCUCAGCCGUGGCCGCACCACGCCCAGCUGACUCUACCGUCAGCGCCGCGCCUGCUGCAGCUGCCGCCGCCACCGCGCCUGCUGCAGCUGUCGCCGCCGCCAAAUCUCUGCCAGCAGGAUGCGGAGGCGUGGGAUUCGAAUUCGGUCGCCGGAUCCGCUCGAGCUCUAUCGGGCGACCCAGCGCAAGCCGUCUGAGGCGGAUGCGGAGGAGUGGGAUUCGUCUCCAACGGAUAGGUGGCCGCGGCCAUCCCGCGCCGGCGUUGACCGAGCAACGUGGGUCCCGCCGCCUCACCAGAUGAGCGGUUCGGGUGCUUUUCUUUCCCGGCGAGCUGCCCCGUGCUUGCCCCCAGAUGAGCGUCGGCCUGCCUAGGGGAGUAGUCGAAGAAGCGGGCGUCGCGCUCAUCCUCGCCUUCGCCCGAUGCGAGAACUCCCGCUCCGUGCGCCGCCGGCAGCUGGGAAAGAGCAUUGAUGGGAUGGUCAUGGAAGAUGAGGUCAAGAAGGUGCAGGAUGAACCUUGAUGGGAUGCUCAGGGAAGAUGAGGCCAAGGUGGAUACGCCCAUGAUGCAUGGAUGCAUUUAACAUGAUGGAUGAAUAGUGCUUUCGGUUGUUUGAAGAAUGUGAGUUUGACAUCAUAGGUUUCCAUUUUGUGAAGAAAACAUCAAGAAACUUCUUUUGUGAUGCAACUAAUGGGGAAAUACAAAAAUACAAAUAAUGUCGAUUACUUUGAGCCUUUGAGUUAGAAGGGCUGACCUGCAUGAGUACUCAUUGAGGAGCAAGAGAAUCAAAGACGACAUCCUCCGCGCAAUGGGCAAGCUAUUGGAGCCUGAUGAACAUUGCCUAGUUAACCAGCUUAACGGCAAGGCUCUCACUUAUGCUACAUUCAAGGACUAUCCUCCGUGUCCAAGUUUCUCAGAGAUGGAACGUGGUACAAUGUUCGUACUGUGUCUAACUACACCUUGCUGAUCAACGUUGGCGUUACAAUGGAGAUAAUGACAAAUGGGAUAUUUAAAGGGCCAGUACCGGGUUGUAACAAAUUUGGAGAAAGAGAGACAUGAUGAAGGAUAUACUAUAGCUUUGUGACAAUAAUCCCAGCCAACAAGAAUUUUGCUGUGGGGAACGCAUUCAGGUGACUGAGAUGAACUUGGUAUAUUCGACAGGCCUGCAAGAGAGUUGCAGUACCACAUGAGUACCCUGCACUUAUGGGCAUAUUUGGUGAGGGAAGAAUCACAGCUGGUCCAGCCGUCCAGGGGCUGUGCAGGGCGGGGGCGGCCGCGCGGGUGCUGGGCGGGAUCGUGGGCACUGGCGAUCUAGCAGCCUUGUGCCACACUGCGAGGGGGCAGGGCAGCCUCCUUGGCGCCCGCUACGUCGAUCGUGCAGGGAGGCGGCUGCGCGGUGGAGUGGCGCGAGGUUGGCGGCCGGAGAAGAAGGUGUUGGCGCGGUGGUGACGGAAGGCAGCAAGGCUCCUGCGCGAUUGGGCUAGGAGAAUCAAUUCAUUCCUUUCCUUCCUUAGGAUAUGCGUCCUUCCUUAGUAGAUGCGAUUGGAGUUUCCCGAUUGUCUGGGGACGAUUCGCUAGUCUCCAGGUGAAGCAGGUCAGUCAAUGGAAAUUGGUACGUGCACACCAUGGCGGUAUUGGAUCAAUUCUGGCUGUUAGAUUCAGAUUCGUGGGAGUAA